Molecule: long non-coding RNA, 516 nt
Organism: Capsicum annuum
Lineage: Eukaryota; Viridiplantae; Streptophyta; Magnoliopsida; Solanales; Solanaceae
Exons: 2
Source: RefSeq, a predicted model, not a curated record
AUUUAUGUGGGUUGUGGCCUAAAGUUUUUUUUUUAAAAAUAAUUUUCCGCUAAAACCAAACGCUCCAAAGCAUCUCUAUUUUCAAUUUAUUUUCCCCAAAUGUUAGCGCCCUUUUAAUUUCAAUUACAUCUAGGUUAGGUUUUCUGUUUUUCAUUAUUCCGCUGAACUGAACUCUUUCUUUUAGGGCAUUCAUUACUUUGGCUACAUCUGUUGUGUUCUUCCUAAAAUCUGGAACUAAGAGCAUGAGUAAACCAACAAUCGUGCCAAUAUCGUUUGUUCACACCACAAGCUAUUGGAAGUUGAUUUUUUGGGGGCUACUAUUAGAUUAGAAUUCAUGGUCAUACUGAUACAUAUAUGAGAUUUUUUUGUUACAUGCUCUUAAGUAAACCCAUACUUUUUAGGAGUAUUUAAUUUUUGAAAAUGGGUAAAUUAUCAGUGCAUCAAAUCAUGUAUUGACGUUUGUAAAUGUAUAUGAUUUAUUAAUUUAUAUAUUAUAACUGAGAUGUUUUCAAAGAA